GGGUGAGUAACGCGUGAGAAACCUGCCUUUUACAAAGGGAUAGCCUCGGGAAACUGGGAUUAAUACCUUAUGACACUUAAAUGUCGCAUGAGAUUUAAGUCAAAGCGUAAAGCGGUAAAAGAUGGUCUCGCGUCCCAUUAGUUAGUUGGUGAGGUAAAGGCUCACCAAGACAGCGAUGGGUAGCCGGCCUGAGAGGGUGAACGGCCACACUGGAACUGAGACACGGUCCAGACUCCUACGGGAGGCAGCAGUGGGGAAUAUUGCACAAUGGAGGAAACUCUGAUGCAGCGACGCCGCGUGAACGAUGAAGGCUUUCGGGUCGUAAAGUUCUGUCCUAAGGGACGAUAAUGACGGUACCUUAGGAGGAAGCCCCGGCUAACUACGUGCCAGCAGCCGCGGUAAUACGUAGGGGGCAAGCGUUGUCCGGAUUUAUUGGGCGUAAAGGGUGCGUAGGCGGUCUUUUAAGUCAGAUGUGAAAGAUCACGGCUCAACCGUGGUAAGCGUUUGAAACUGAAAGGCUUGAGUUAAGGAGAGGAAAGUGGAAUUCCUAGUGUAGCGGUGAAAUGCGUAGAUAUUAGGAGGAAUACCAGUGGCGAAGGCGACUUUCUGGACUUAUACUG
Molecule: ribosomal RNA, 620 nt
Filed under: uncultured Pseudomonas sp.
Lineage: Bacteria; Pseudomonadati; Pseudomonadota; Gammaproteobacteria; Pseudomonadales; Pseudomonadaceae
Description: bacterial SSU rRNA
Rfam family: Bacterial small subunit ribosomal RNA
Source: RNAcentral